Molecule: ribosomal RNA, 1359 nt
Filed under: uncultured bacterium
Lineage: Bacteria
Description: bacterial SSU rRNA
Rfam family: Bacterial small subunit ribosomal RNA
Source: RNAcentral
CGAGCGGUAUGGAUAGCUUGCUAUCCAGAGAGCGGCGUACGGGUGCGUAACACGUGUGCAACCUGCCUUUAUCUGGGGGAUAGCCUUUCGAAAGGAAGAUUAAUACCCCAUAAUAUGGUGUCCGGCAUCGGUCGCCAUUGAAAGCCUCGGCGGAUAGAGAUGGGCACGCGCAAGAUUAGAUAGUUGGCGGGGUAACGGCCCACCAAGUCGAUGAUCUUUAGGGGUCCUGAGAGGGAGAUCCCCCACACUGGUACUGAGACACGGACCAGACUCCUACGGGAGGCAGCAGUGAGGAAUAUUGGACAAUGGGUGGAAGCCUGAUCCAGCCAUCCCGCGUGAAGGAUGACGGUCCUAUGGAUUGUAAACUUCUUUUGUACAGGGAUAAACCUGCCCUCGUGAGGGCAGCUGAAGGUACUGUACGAAUAAGCACCGGCUAACUCCGUGCCAGCAGCCGCGGUAAUACGGAGGGUGCGAGCGUUAUCCGGAUUUAUUGGGUUUAAAGGGUCCGUAGGCGGGCCUGUAAGUCAGUGGUGAAAUCUCAUAGCUUAACUAUGAAACUGCCAUUGAUACUGCAGGCCUUGAGUAAAUUUGAAGUGGCUGGAAUAAGUAGUGUAGCGGUGAAAUGCAUAGAUAUUACUUAGAACACCGAUUGCGAAGGCAGGUCACUAAGAUUUAACUGACGCUGAUGGACGAAAGCGUGGGGAGCGAACAGGAUUAGAUACCCUGGUAGUCCACGCCGUAAACGAUGCUAACUCGUUUUUGGAUCUUCGGGUUCAGAGACCAAGCGAAAGUGAUAAGUUAGCCACCUGGGGAGUACGUCCGCAAGGAUGAAACUCAAAGGAAUUGACGGGGGCCCGCACAAGCGGUGGAUUAUGUGGUUUAAUUCGAUGAUACGCGAGGAACCUUACCAAGACUUAAAUGGGAAUUGACAGAUUUAGAAAUAGAUCCUCCUUCGGGCAAUUUUCAAGGUGCUGCAUGGUUGUCGUCAGCUCGUGCCGUGAGGUGUUAGGUUAAGUCCUGCAACGAGCGCAACCCCUGCCAACAGUUGCCAUCAUUCAGUUGGGGACUCUGUUGGGACUGCCUACGCAAGUAGAGAGGAAGGUGGGGAUGACGUCAAAUCAUCACGGCCCUUACGUCUUGGGCCACACACGUAAUACAAUGGCCGGUACAGAGGGCAGCUACCUGGUGACAGGAUGCGAAUCUCGAAAGCCGGUCUCAGUUCGGAUUGGAGUCUGCAACUCGACCCUAUGAAGCUGGAAUCGCUAGUAAUCGCGCAUCAGCCAUGGCGCGGUGAAUACGUUCCCGGGCCUUGUACACACCGCCCGUCAAGCCAUGGAAGUCUGGGGUACCUGAAGUCGG